This 636-nucleotide ribosomal RNA is filed under the name Streptomyces sp. GTVA4. RNAcentral's name for it is "bacterial SSU rRNA". It matches the Rfam family "Bacterial small subunit ribosomal RNA", at positions 107 to 757 of the family's 1533-position model. Lineage: Bacteria; Bacillati; Actinomycetota; Actinomycetes; Kitasatosporales; Streptomycetaceae. The record is from RNAcentral.
UGAGUAACACGUGGGCAAUCUGCCCUGCACUCUGGGACAAGCCCUGGAAACGGGGUCUAAUACCGGAUAACACCCCCUCUCGCAUGGGAGGGGGUUGAAAGCUCCGGCGGUGCAGGAUGAGCCCGCGGCCUAUCAGCUUGUUGGUGAGGUAGAAGCUCACCAAGGCGACGACGGGUAGCCGGCCUGAGAGGGCGACCGGCCACACUGGGACUGAGACACGGCCCAGACUCCUACGGGAGGCAGCAGUGGGGAAUAUUGCACAAUGGGCGAAAGCCUGAUGCAGCGACGCCGCGUGAGGGAUGACGGCCUUCGGGUUGUAAACCUCUUUCAGCAGGGAAGAAGCGAAAGUGACGGUACCUGCAAAAGAAGCGCCGGCUAACUACGUGCCAGCAGCCGCGGUAAUACGUAGGGCGCAAGCGUUGUCCGGAAUUAUUGGGCGUAAAGAGCUCGUAGGCGGCUUGUCACGUCGGUUGUGAAAGCCCGGGGCUUAACCCCGGGUCUGCAGUCGAUACGGGCAGGCUAGAGUGUGGUAGGGGAGAUCGGAAUUCCUGGUGUAGCGGUGAAAUGCGCAGAUAUCAGGAGGAACACCGGUGGCGAAGGCGGAUCUCUGGGCCAUUACUGACGCUGAGGAGCGAA